RNAcentral lists this ribosomal RNA (507 nucleotides) under uncultured bacterium. RNAcentral describes it as "partial 16S ribosomal RNA". It matches the Rfam family "Bacterial small subunit ribosomal RNA", at positions 28 to 507 of the family's 1533-position model. The record is from RNAcentral.
GACGAACGCUGGCGGCGUGCCUAAUACAUGCAAGUCGAACGCAUUUUCUUUCACCGUAGCUUGCUACACCGAAAGAAAAUGAGUGGCGAACGGGUGAGUAACACGUGGGUAACCUGCCCAUCAGCGGGGGAUAACACUUGGAAACAGGUGCUAAUACCGCAUAAUUCCAUUUACCGCAUGGUAGAUGGAUGAAAGGCGCUUUUGCGUCACUGAUGGAUGGACCCGCGGUGCAUUAGCUAGUUGGUGGGGUAACGGCCUACCAAGGCUGCGAUGCAUAGCCGACAUGAGAGGGUGAGCGGCCACACUGGGACUGAGGCACGGCCCAGACUCCUACGGGAGGCAGCAGUAGGGAAUCUUCGGCAAUGGACGCAAGUCUGACCGAGCAACGCCGCGUGAGUGAAGAAGGUUGUCGGAUCGUAAAACUCGGUUGUUAGAGAAGAACAAGGAUGAGAGUGGAAAGUUCAUCCCUUGACGGUAUCUAACCAGAAAGCCACGGCUAACUACGUG